AAUCAACGCUGGCGGCGCGCUUAACACAUGCAAGUCGCACGAGAAAGUGGAGCAAUCCAUGAGUACAGUGGCGUACGGGUGAGUAACACGUGGGUAAUCUACCUCUUAGUGGGAAUAACUCUGGGAACCGGAGCUAAUACCGCAUAAGCCUGGAAAGGGAAAGCAGCAAUGCGCUGAGAGAGGAGCCCGCGGCCGAUUAGCUAGUUGGUAGGGUAAAGACCUACCAAGGCAAUGAUCGGUAGCCGGCCUGAGAGGGCACACGGCCACACUGGC
Molecule: ribosomal RNA, 273 nt
Filed under: uncultured bacterium
Lineage: Bacteria
Description: partial 16S ribosomal RNA
Rfam family: Bacterial small subunit ribosomal RNA
Source: RNAcentral